RNAcentral lists this ribosomal RNA (253 nucleotides) under uncultured bacterium. Its description in RNAcentral is "partial 16S ribosomal RNA". It matches the Rfam family "Bacterial small subunit ribosomal RNA", at positions 524 to 776 of the family's 1533-position model. The record is from RNAcentral.
UACGUAGGGUGCGAGCGUUAAUCGGAAUUACUGGGCGUAAAGCGUGCGCAGGCGGUUCGUUGUGUCUGAUGUGAAAGCCCCGGGCUUAACCUGGGAAUGGCAUUGGAAACUGGCGAGCUGGAGUGUGGCAGAGGGAGGUGGAAUUCCACGUGUAGCAGUGAAAUGCGUAGAGAUGUGGAGGAACACCGAUGGCGAAGGCAGCCUCCUGGGCCAGCACUGACGCUCAUGCACGAAAGCGUGGGGAGCAAACAGG